RNAcentral lists this long non-coding RNA (224 nucleotides) under Capsella grandiflora. Its description in RNAcentral is "long non-coding RNA (CGRA_LNC001038)". The record is from RNAcentral. Lineage: Eukaryota; Viridiplantae; Streptophyta; Magnoliopsida; Brassicales; Brassicaceae.
UUUUGUUCUUGAAAGAGGAAAAAAAAUCAAGUCAAGUCAUACAAAAUAUUUCAUACCAAUUGUGACAAAUGAUAAACAUGAAAACUCUUAAUGAUAAAAAAUCCAAUGGAAUAAGAAAUGAAUAAAACAUAUUUGCUAAUAGUUUUUAGAAACUUGAAAGUUAAUCAAACAUUCCCGGUAUUAAUUGACUUGCAAACAACCAAACUAAUAAAGCCUUCACUGUU